UGAAUCCAGCCACUGAAACACCCAGGAGAUGGUGCUCUUGGAUCAGAGAUCGGUGCAGUGCUGACCCAGAGGCAUCCUCGAACGCAGCCCUCCGUUUUCCCUUUGUGUUGCAUGCUCUUCUUUGGGGUUCCCAUUUUCUUUGGGGAGAAGAAUGUGACGAUGUUGAAUCCGGAGCACGCUCCCAUCUGAUCCAUAAUGCGAUUUCCAGCCUGGUGAUCCUACGCCUCUGCCUGAAAUGACGCUGGUGCUCGUAGGAGGUGUUUUUCUCUGGACUGUGAGACUAGUGAGAUACUGAAGCUGAGCACGGAGCAGAUUUGCAUCUGAUUGCCCUGAUUGGAGCCUGGGACGCGCUGUGCCCAAGCCAAGCAUCUGAGGGGUGCCAGCUCCAUUGCUGCCAGGGCUGGGAAUACGCAGCUGUACGCGUGGCUCCCUGGGGCCUCCUGGCUGGGACAGCCUUUCACCACUGACACGUGUCUUGGAGUGCCAAGGUCACAGCCAAAAGUUGUCUCCGAUGAAGAUCUGACUGCAACUGAGCAAGCUGCUCAUGAAGAGAGGUCUAAAUGAAACAGCAUGUGAAAAGUGUGGUUUAACCUCUCCACACCUACAACCAAGUGCCUUGUCUUCCUGUGCCUUCUGUGACACAUCCUGUUCCAGAACACAGAAACUUACUUGGGCAGGCACUGAAAGAGAAUCAGUAUGCAACCAUAAAGAAUUUGCUUUUAAAAACUGCAUCCUUCCUACUGAAAUGAAGAAAGGUAGAAUUUUCUGUAAAGUGCAGCAUUGAAAUAGGAAGACAUAUCCCCACUUGGAAAGUGCUGAGCUACUGGGAAGCUAUAGCGUGUUUACGGACUCGGCUUUCUGAGCAAUCUCCAGAGCUUGAAGAGAUUACAGUGAUAUUUUAACAAGGCUGCUGGCAUCCAUCACCGGCUUUUACUUACUGAGAAGGCUGAAGGAUGGAAGAAUGCAAUUAUUUCCAUGUUAACUAAAUAUUAGUGGCAGAUUGUCAUGGGAACUUCAACUUCUUCAUCUCCUGCCAGGUGCACAGUCCCUCUGAUGACGCCACAAAUCUGGGAAUGAAGAACUUCUUCGACCUGAUUGGAAAUGGCAUUGCGGAGCUGAAACUUAACUGGAGGAAACAUAGCUCCCGAAGAAGGAAAUAUAAUGCACUUUAAAGAUCUGACUUCUGGUGAAAAAUUCAAGCCUAGAGAAAACUUGUCCGCUUUGUUCAGAAGAAUGGGUUGGACAAUUUUCUUCAGUUCCACAGGAUAUCUGAGUGCCAUGCUGAGCUUGAUCUCUGCAGCAUGCUCUGUGCUUCUCAUCUCUUCCUGAUGCACUGCAUGAUUAUCCUGAAGGGGAGGAUAAAGAAACUGGCCACCAAGAUGGUAAUCACUAGUGGAAAUGAAGAAGAUAAAGGCAGUCAAGAAAAGGAAAGCAAAGAAGAAACCAUCUUGGCAAUGCUUGGAAUUAUUGGGACAAUUCUGAACCUCAUUGUGAUCAUUUUUGUGUACAUUUACACAACGUUGUAAACUAGCAGGCAUGCAAAUAGAACAGAUAAAACGGCCAUUAAGAGUGACAACAAACAUUGCUGACUAUUGACAAGUUGUUUAAUCAGAAUUGACUCUGUAUUAUAUUAACACAUCAUAAAAGCACUGCCUGCAGGCAGCGAAGGCUGAAGCACAAUUAAUUUAACAAGACUUCUUCACGCAGUAACAAGCUAAACUCUUCUGUCCUGCCCUCUUCCUUUCGCUUUGGUUUUCGGUUUGGGGGAAACAUGACUGCAAUUAUGUAAGUUGUAGCUUUGAAGAAAUCCACCCGGGUUAUGUUAUUUUAACACAAUUUAAAAAGAGGGGAAAAAAAAGAAAAAAAAAAAAAAGAAACUGUACACUAUAUACAAUUAAAAAUGUAUACUGUAUACCUGCAAAGAUGGAGCUCUAUGAUAGCUACAUAGCACAGAUCACGUGUCCGUUAGGUCAAAUGAUAUUUUUUCUCUUGGUUUAUGCUUUUACUUACAUCGAAUCUGACAGGCUUUUUGUUUAGAAUGAACAUAUGGUGCAAUCAUGAAAAAAAAAAAAAA
Molecule: non-coding RNA, 2074 nt
Organism: Coturnix japonica (Japanese quail)
Lineage: Eukaryota; Metazoa; Chordata; Aves; Galliformes; Phasianidae
Source: RefSeq, a predicted model, not a curated record